GACGAACGCUGGCGGCGUGCCUAAUACAUGCAAGUAGAACGCUGAAGGAGGAGCUUGCUCUUCUGGAUGAGUUGCGAACGGGUGAGUAACGCGUAGGUAACCUGCCUGGUAGCGGGGGAUAACUAUUGGAAACGAUAGCUAAUACCGCAUAAGAGUAGAUGUUGCAUGACAUUUGCUUAAAAGGUGCAAUUGCAUCACUACCAGAUGGACCUGCGUUGUAUUAGCUAGUUGGUGGGGUAACGGCUCACCAAGGCGACGAUACAUAGCCGACCUGAGAGGGUGAUCGGCCACACUGGGACUGAGACACGGCCCAGACUCCUUCGGGAGGCAGCAGUAGGGAAUCUUCGGCAAUGGACGGAAGUCUGACCGAGCAACGCCGCGUGAGUGAAGAAGGUUUUCGGAUCGUAAAGCUCUGUUGUAAGAGAAGAACGAGUGUGAGAGCGGAAAGUUCACACUGUGACGGUAGCUUACCAGAAAGGGACGGCUAACUACGUG
Molecule: ribosomal RNA, 495 nt
Filed under: uncultured bacterium
Lineage: Bacteria
Description: partial 16S ribosomal RNA
Rfam family: Bacterial small subunit ribosomal RNA
Source: RNAcentral